Molecule: long non-coding RNA, 1304 nt
Filed under: Brassica rapa (field mustard)
Lineage: Eukaryota; Viridiplantae; Streptophyta; Magnoliopsida; Brassicales; Brassicaceae
Description: long non-coding RNA (BRAP_LNC000560)
Source: RNAcentral
UAGGAUUCAAAAUCCACUCACACCUAGUAAAUACUAAACUUUAAUCCAAACCUCAACUCCAAAAUAAUAAACCCUAAACUUUAAACAUCACCCUUCCAUCUAAAUACUAAACCCUAAACCCUAAUUACUGAACCCUAAACCCAAAUAUAAACCUUAAACCCAAUUAUCAAAAUCUGAAAAUAGUGUAUAAUAUUAUAUAAUAUUAAACUAAAUCCAAACAAAACUCCUCAAUGCUAAACUCAAACCUAACUUUUGAAUACUAAACCCAAAAAUGCUAUCACUAAACCCAAAUCUAAACUCCCACCUUCCAAAUACUAAACCCUAAAUCCUAAUCACUAAACCCUAAACCCAAGUAUAGACUAUAAACCCAAAUAGAAUGGAACAAAAUACAUAGUAUAGUAUAAAUUGGUAAGCAAAAAAAACACUUUUUUUAAUCGUCAAAUAGAACAUACAUAAUACGGUCACUAAACCCAAACAUCAACCCCCACCUUCCAAAUACUAAACCCUAAAUCUUAAUCAUUAAACCUAAACCCAAGUAUAAACUCUAAACUCAAAUAGUAUAGAACAAAAUAAAUAGUAUAGCACAUAUAGUUGUAAACAAGAAAUUGAUAAAUAAUGAAUUUAUCAAACAAUCGAUGGUACAAUAAUACAACAACCGUAGCAUACUAUUUAGUUUGGUACUUGCGAAUUGUACAAAAAUAUAAGAAUCGUACUAUACUAUAAUUUUCUUUCACUACAUAUAGUAUAGUCGACGAGUUCAUCUUCUUCACAUCUUCCUCUUUUUACAGACUUGGUGAUACACACAUUCACUAGUCCAGAGUAAUUAUUCUUCAUCAUACCAUAUCAAUACAUCAUACUAUAACAAUUUAAAUAACAAUAAAAAAAAUCAAGAUGAGCAACAUUGAAAAAAACUAAAAAAAAAAGAAAUUGUGAUGUCACCUCGUUGUUGUCUACGGUGCAAUCUUCUCCUCCAAACUCAAUUCCACAAGCCCAAAAUCCAUAUUAUUUCUUAAUCUAGUGGUUUGUGUUCGUAUGUAUAAAAAAACAGAGAUUGGAGGAGAAGAGGAAGAAGAAGAGAAAGAGAUGUGGAAGAAUGAUAACCACAAUUUAUUAAAUUAUUUAUUUAAUAUUUCUUUUGAUAAAUAACUCUCAGCAGGUCACACAGGUUGAAUUGAAGGGUAAUAUAGUGUUAUUACAUAAAAUACAUGUACUGUAGAUGAAAGUUAGGGGUUUUAGUUAUGUAAUGAAUUAUAAUUUGUUUGAAGGUUAUACAGCCAAAUUUCUCUUAAAAAAAAGCCAAUCAG